CGAACGCUGGCGGCGUAGCCUAAUACAUGCAAGUCAACGGUCUUUCUAUGGAAGCUUGCUUCCACUGAGAAGAUAGUGGCGAACGGGUGAGUAACACGUGGGUAACCUGCCCAUAAGAGGGGGGAUAACAUCCGGAAACGGGUGCUAAUACCGCAUAGUUUCUUGAUCGCAUGAUCGGGAAAGGAAAGACGGCCUUUGUGCUGUCGCUUAUGGAUGGACCCGCGGCGUAUUAGUUAGUUGGUGAGGUAACGGCUCACCAAGACGAUGAUACGUAGCCGACCUGAGAGGGUGAUCGGCCACAUUGGGACUGAGACACGGCCCAAACUCCUACGGGAGGCAGCAGUAGGGAAUCUUCCGCAAUGGACGAAAGUCUGACGGAGCAACGCCGCGUGAGUGAAGAAAAGGUUUUCGGAUCGUAAAACUCUGUCGUCAGAGAAGAACAAGUUGGAGAGUAACUGCUCCAGCCUUGACGGUAUCUGACCAGGAAGCCACGGCUAACUACGUGCCAGCAGCCGC
Molecule: ribosomal RNA, 516 nt
Filed under: uncultured bacterium
Lineage: Bacteria
Description: bacterial SSU rRNA
Rfam family: Bacterial small subunit ribosomal RNA
Source: RNAcentral